RNAcentral lists this transfer RNA (74 nucleotides) under Ceratocystis platani. RNAcentral's name for it is "tRNA-Arg". It matches the Rfam family "tRNA". Rfam says of the family: Transfer RNA (tRNA) molecules are approximately 80 nucleotides in length. Their secondary structure includes four short double-helical elements and three loops (D, anti-codon, and T loops). Further hydrogen bonds mediate the characteristic L-shaped molecular structure. tRNAs have two regions of fundamental functional importance: the anti-codon, which is responsible for specific mRNA codon recognition, and the 3' end, to which the tRNAs corresponding amino acid is attached (by aminoacyl-tRNA synthetases). tRNAs cope with the degeneracy of the genetic code in two manners: having more than one tRNA (with a specific anti-codon) for a particular amino acid; and 'wobble' base-pairing, i.e. permitting non-standard base-pairing at the 3rd anti-codon position. The record is from RNAcentral. Lineage: Eukaryota; Fungi; Ascomycota; Sordariomycetes; Microascales; Ceratocystidaceae.
UGGCCGCGUGGCCCAAUGGCAAGGCGUUUGACUACGAAUCAAAAGAUUGUGGGUUCGAAUCCCAUCGUGGUCAG